CGCUUCUGGCCCCUUUCUCUGGAGGAGCUCCGCGCGUGGCGAGUCUGUGUCCUCCCUGUCCCCCAGAGCAGAGAACCCUCUCUGUGUCUGGACGGGGGAGGAGCAGACGCUGGACAGGUUUUUGGCAAAAUGCUGGCAAUUCCCAGGAAGAUAUGUGGAGAACGGAAAGGUUGCUACACCCAAAUAGUGGCGCAAAGGCUAUGAUUAUGGAGGAUUGGACCUGCAAACUCCAGAACAGAGCAACCUUGUAAAAUGUGUGUGGGCAGCACAGAGACCUUGGGCAAGUUAACAGUUUCCUCAUCUGUAAAUACUGAUUUAUGGAAAGCACCUGGUGUAUGUUCUGCCCUCUGAGGACCCUGCCCUUUCCCAAAAGGGGUAUCUUAAGAAGGAAAAUAUGGCUGCUCUUUGCCGGACAGCAGAGUCCCAGAACCCCAUGCAGGUGUUUCAGGGCUUUACGUCAUUCAAGGAUGUGGCUGUGAACUUCACUAGGAAGAAUGGAGAGUACUGGACCUUGCUCAGAGAGUCUUGUACAGGGAUGUAAUGCUGGAGAACUAUAGGAACCUGGUCUCCUUGGGAUUUCCAUUUUCCAAACCUGGUAUCAUCUCCUAGUUGGAAGAAGUGGUAGGCCCACGAACGCAAAUGCAGGAGGGAGAGGUGCCAAGAAGCAGCUGUACACGUAAGUGAGAACAAGGCGGAUUGCAUCUUUAGAAAUAAGAGUUAGGGGUUCUUCCGAAAUCCUCCGGGCCUGUAGAAAAUGUUGAAUCCCCCUGCAGUCUCAUCUUCACUUGACCACAUCAGAAUCCUAAUAGCUUGCCUCUUUAUUUCUUUCCAGACUGAAGGAAGAGAUACUUCCUCCUUAAAGUUAUAAGCCCAACACAUGAUCCAGAGAUCAGCUUUGUGCCUCAUCCUGAGGCAUUUUAUGAGGCUAUUCCCGUUUCCUCUUUAGUAGCUGGAAUCACUUCUUCAUUUACUCUGUCCUUAUC
Molecule: long non-coding RNA, 983 nt
Filed under: Homo sapiens (human)
Lineage: Eukaryota; Metazoa; Chordata; Mammalia; Primates; Hominidae
Description: HSALNT0238199
Source: RNAcentral